CAAGGAAUUUUCCCCAAUGGGCGCAAGCCUGAGGGAGCAACGCCGCGUGCAGGACGACGGCCUUCGGGUUGUAAACUGCUUUUGCGUGGGACGAUAACGACGGUACCACGCGAAUCAGCCCCGGCUAACUCUGUGCCAGCAGCCGCGGUAAUACAGAGGGGGCAAGCGUUGUCCGGACUUACUGGGCGUAAAGCGCACGCAGGUGGUAACGCAAGUGGGGUGUGAAAGCCGCCAGCUCAACUGGCGGAGGCCAUCCCAAACUGCGUCACUUGAGGCCUGUAGAGGUAUGUGGAAUUGCCGGUGUAGUGGUGAAAUGCGUAGAGAUCGGCAGGAACACCCAGGGGGAAGCCAGCAUACUGGACAGGUCCUGACACUCAGGUGCGACAGCGUGGGGAGCGAACCGGAUUAGAUACCCCCGUAGUCC
RNAcentral lists this ribosomal RNA (424 nucleotides) under uncultured prokaryote. RNAcentral describes it as "bacterial SSU rRNA". It matches the Rfam family "Bacterial small subunit ribosomal RNA", at positions 355 to 796 of the family's 1533-position model. The record is from RNAcentral.